Termitomyces sp. T32_za158 is the source of this 87-nucleotide non-coding RNA. NCBI's taxonomy places the organism in Eukaryota, Fungi, Basidiomycota, Agaricomycetes, Agaricales, Lyophyllaceae. The record is from the annotation of a GenBank genome assembly.
UCUUCGCUAGUAUAUCGGUUAGUACACGCGCCUGUCACCAUAUGUUGAUGGCCGCGCGAAAGCUGGGUUCGACUCCCAGGCGAAGAG